RNAcentral lists this unclassified non-coding RNA (582 nucleotides) under Hevea brasiliensis (rubber tree). The record is from RNAcentral. Lineage: Eukaryota; Viridiplantae; Streptophyta; Magnoliopsida; Malpighiales; Euphorbiaceae.
AGUUUCAAAAUUUGAAGAUGAUAGAAUUUGAAAAUAUUGAUGAAUAUUGCACAAGAGUCUUAAAUAUUGUUAAUGAAUUGAGAAAUCACGGUGAUACAAUUUCUGACCAACAAGUUGUGGAAAAGAUUCUAAUUAGUGUCACAGAAAAGUAUGAGUAGGUUGUUGCUAUCAGUGAGGAGACCGAAGAUCUUUCUAAGCUUUCCAUCAAAAAGUCAGAAGCAUUUGCUACAUUCAAGAAAUUUAAAGCCCUUGUUGAGAAGUAAAAAGGUUGCAGCAUCAAAACCAUUCGUAGUGAUAGAUGAGGUGAAUAUACAAGUCGAGAAUUUGAAGAAUAUUACAAAAAUGAAGGCAUUCAGAAGCAACUUACAGCAAGGUGUACUCCUCAACCAAAAAGUGUAUCUAAAAAAAGAAAUACAAUAAUUGUUGAAAUGACCAGAACUAUGAUGAAUGAGAUAGGAAUGCCAAAAUAUUUUUGGUAGAAGCAGUGCAUACAACAGUUCACAUCCUUAACAGGUGUCCAACAAAGGCACUAAAGGACUAGACACCAGUUGAAGCUUGGCGUGGAAUUAAACCUUCUGUAAG